UACGUAGGUGGCAAGCGUUGUCCGGAAUCAUUGGGCGUAAAGAGCGUGUAGGCGGCUUGGUAAGUCCGCUGUGAAAGUCCAGGGCUCAACCCUGGAAUGCCGGUGGAAACUGUCAAGCUUGAGUCCGGAAGAGGCGAGUGGAAUUCCUGGUGUAGCGGUGAAAUGCGCAGAUAUCAGGAGGAACACCAAUGGCGAAGGCAGCUCGCUGGGACGGUACUGACGCUGAGACGCGAAAGCGUGGGGAGCAAACAGG
This 253-nucleotide ribosomal RNA is filed under the name uncultured bacterium. RNAcentral describes it as "partial 16S ribosomal RNA". It matches the Rfam family "Bacterial small subunit ribosomal RNA", at positions 524 to 776 of the family's 1533-position model. The record is from RNAcentral.